Molecule: ribosomal RNA, 253 nt
Filed under: uncultured prokaryote
Description: partial 16S ribosomal RNA
Rfam family: Bacterial small subunit ribosomal RNA
Source: RNAcentral
ACGUAGGGUGCAAGCAUUAAUCGGAUUUAUUGGGCGUAAAGGGCGCGUAGGCGGGGAUGUAAGUCAGAUGUGAAAUCCCGGGGCUCAACCCCGGAACAGCAUUUGAAACUACAUUUCUAGAGGGUAGGCGGAGAAAACGGAAUUCCACAAGUAGCGGUGAAAUGCGUAGAUAUGUGGAAGAACACCAGUGGCGAAGGCGGUUUUCUAGCUUAUACCUGACGCUAAUGCGCGAAAGCAAGGGGAGCAAACAGGA